CGGGAGAAUUGCUAGCUUGCUAAUAAUUCUCUAGUGGCGCACGGGUGAGUAACACGUGAGUAACCUGCCCCCAAGAGUGGGAUAGCCCCGGGAAACUGGGAUUAAUACCGCAUAAAAUCGCAAGAUUAAAGCAGCAAUGCGCUUGGGGAUGGGCUCGCGUCCUAUUAGUUAGUUGGUGAGGUAACGGCUCACCAAGGCGAUGACGGGUAGCCGGUCUGAGAGGAUGUCCGGCCACACUGGAACUGAGACACGGUCCAGACACCUACGGGUGGCAGCAGUCGAGAAUCAUUCACAAUGGGGGAAACCCUGAUGGUGCGACGCCGCGUGGGGGAAUGAAGGUCUUCGGAUUGUAAACCCCUGUCAUGUGGGAGCAAAUUAAAAAGAUAGUACCACAAGAGGAAGAGACGGCUAACUCUGUGCCAGCAGCCGCGGUAAUACAGAGGUCUCAAGCGUUGUUCGGAAUCACUGGGCGUAAAGCGUGCGUAGGCGGUUUCGUAAGUCGUGUGUGAAAGGCGGGGGCUCAACCCCCGGACUGCACAUGAUACUGCGAGACUAGAGUAAUGGAGGGGGAACCGGAAUUCUCGGUGUAGCAGUGAAAUGCGUAGAUAUCGAGAGGAACACUCGUGGCGAAGGCGGGUUCCUGGACAUUAACUGACGC
This 658-nucleotide ribosomal RNA is filed under the name uncultured bacterium. RNAcentral describes it as "bacterial SSU rRNA". It matches the Rfam family "Bacterial small subunit ribosomal RNA", at positions 67 to 746 of the family's 1533-position model. The record is from RNAcentral.